CCUCCUGUGUUGCAUUCCAGUCAUUAGAAAUUACACAAACUAUUAGGGAGCAGUAGCAGAGCUGCUAACAAACCCUCUGAAUUAGGGUUUCCUUUCGAAUUGUAGUGGAGAAUAAAGAACGGACUAGUGAAGGCUUUGGAGCUGAAUAAAACAGGACAAUGAGAAAUUGAGAGGGGAGAGGGAGAGAAAAAGAGACACUUGCAGACCUACUUCGCCACUCCUGAGGCUUCCCCCCUUCAGACACCAGGUUCCAGAUGCUACCAUGAUGCUGACCAGACUUCCCUGGACAAACAACCCCACCAAUGUGUCAUGGAACUCCACUUCCUCAGAGCCCCACCCCACUAGGGAAAGAGAGAGACAGGCUGGAAGUAUGGAUUGACCUGCCAAUGCCCAUGUUCAGUGGGGAAGCAAUUACAGAAGCCAGACCUUCCACCUUUUGCACCCCACAAUGAUCCUGAGUCCAUACUCCCAGAGGGAUAAAGAAUAGGAAAGCUAUCAGAGGAGGGGAUGGGAUAUGGAGUUCUGGUGGUGGGAACUGUGUGAAGUUGUACCCCUCUUAUCCUAUGGUUUUUAUUAGUAUUUCCUGUUUAUAAAUAAAAAU
This is a long non-coding RNA of Erinaceus europaeus (western European hedgehog), 601 nucleotides long. RefSeq lists it as uncharacterized. The transcript is spliced from 3 exons. Lineage: Eukaryota; Metazoa; Chordata; Mammalia; Eulipotyphla; Erinaceidae. The record is from RefSeq and is a predicted model, not a curated record.